This 1779-nucleotide long non-coding RNA is filed under the name Homo sapiens (human). RNAcentral's name for it is "HSALNT0400310". The record is from RNAcentral. Lineage: Eukaryota; Metazoa; Chordata; Mammalia; Primates; Hominidae.
CAAAACAGUGACGCAGCAGUGUGUUACCUGCCGACAGCAUAAUGUGAGGCAAGGUCUAGCUGUUCCCCCCCGGCAUACAAGCUUAUAGAGCAGCCUCCUUUGAAGAUCUCCAGGUGGACUUCACAGAGAUGCCAAAGUGUGGAGGUAACAAGUGUUCGAGUGUGGAUCAAGGACUGGAACGUAGCCUCUUUGUGCCCAUGGUGGAAAGGACCCCAGACUGUCGUCCUGAUCACUCCCACUGCUGUGAACGUAGAGAGAAUCCUAGCCUGGAUCCAUCACAACCGUGUAAAACCUGCAGCGCCUGAAUCCUGGGAGGCAAGACCAAGUCUGGACAACCCCUGCAGAGUGACCCUGAAGAAGAUGACAAGCCCUGCUCCAGUCACACCCAGAAGCUGACUGGUCCACGCACAGCCGAAGCAUGAGGAAGCUCAUUGUGGGCUUCAUUUUUCUUAAAUUUUGGACUUACAGUAAGGGCUUCAACUGUUCUUACUCAAACUGGGGACUAUUCCCAGUGUAUUCAUCAGGUCAGUGAGGUAGGACAGCAAAUGAAAACAAUCUUUCUGUUCUAUAGUUAUUAUCAAUGUAUGGGAACGUUAAAAGAGACUUGUUUGUAUAAUGCCACUCAGUACAAGGUAUGUAGCCCAGGAAAUGACUGACCUGAUGUGUGUUAUAACCCAUCUGAGCCCCCUACAACCACCAGUUUUGAAAUAAGAUUAAGAACUGGCCUUUUCCUAGGUGAUACAAGUGAAAUAAUAACUAGAACAGAAGAAAAAGGAAUCCCCAAACAAGUAACUUUAAGAUUUGACGCUUGUGCAGCCAUUAAUAGUAACAAGCUAGGAACAGGAUGUGGUUCUCUUAACUGGGAAAGGAGCUACAGAGUAGAAAAUAAAUAUGUUUGUCAUGAGUCAGGGGUUUGUGAAAAUUGUGCCUUUUGGCCAUGUGUUAUUUAGGCUACUUGGAAAAAGAACAAAAAGGACUUGGUUCAUCUUCAGAAAGGGGAAGCCAACCCCUCCUGUGCUGCCAGUCACUGUAACCCACUAGAACUAAUAAUUACCAAUCCCCUAGAUCCCCAUUGGAAAAAGGGAGAAUGUGUAACCCUGGGGAUCAAAGGGACAGGGUUAAACCCCCAAGUUGCCAUUUUAGUUCAAGGGGAGGUCCACAAGCACUCUCCCAAACCAGUGUUUCAAACCUUUUAUGAGGAGUUAAAUCUGCCAGCACCAGAACUUCUGAAAAAGAUAAAAAAUUUGUUUCUCCAAUUAGCAGAAAAUGUAGCUCAUUCCCUUAAUGUUACUUCUUGUUAUAUAUGCGGGGGAACCACUAUCAGAGACCGAUGGCCUUGGGAAGCCUGAGAGUUGGUGCCCACUGAUCCAGCUCCUGAUAUAAUGGGGGCUUGUCCAGGAUCUCAUCAGGACUGGAUGGCUCUCGCUGGACUAUACUGGAUAUGUGGGCAGAGAGCCUACAUUCAGUUACCUAAUGAAUGGGCAGACAGUUGUGUUAUUGGCACUAUUAAGCCAUCCUUUUUCUUAUUACCGAUAAAAACUACUGGUACUAUCUGUAAAUUCCAGACAUUGUAUGAGAAAGCACUGUAAAACUUUUUGUUCUGUUAGCUGAUAUAUGUAGCCUCCAGUCACAUUCCUCAUGCUUACUUGAUCUAUCAUGACCCUUUCACGUGGACCCCUUAGAGUUGUAAGCCCUUAAAAGGGCUAGGAAUUUCUUUUUGGGGGAGCUUGGCUCUUAAGACAUGAGUCUGCCAAUGCUACCGGCCAAAUAAAAACCUCU